This 1448-nucleotide ribosomal RNA is filed under the name uncultured Bordetella sp. RNAcentral's name for it is "partial 16S-23S ribosomal RNA intergenic spacer". It matches the Rfam family "Bacterial small subunit ribosomal RNA". The record is from RNAcentral. Lineage: Bacteria; Pseudomonadati; Pseudomonadota; Betaproteobacteria; Burkholderiales; Alcaligenaceae.
GGUCUGAUUAUGGCUCAGAUUGAACGCUGGCGGGAUGCUUUACACAUGCAAGCCCAACGGCACGACUUCGGUCUGGUGGCGAGUGGCGAACGGGUGAGUAAUGUCGGAACUGCAGCCUAGAAGCGGGGAUAACUACGCGAAAGCGUAGCUAAUACUCGCAUACGCCCUUCGGGGAAAGCGAAUCUUCGGCAUUUUCGCAAUUAUUAGAGCGGCCGGGAUAUCGGAUUAGCUAGUUGGUGGGGUAACGGCUCACCAAGGCGACGAUCCGUAGCUGGUUUGAGAGGACGAGACCAGCCGCCACUGGGACUGAGACACGGCCCAGACUCCUACGGGAGGCAGCAGUGGGGAAUUCCUGACAAUGGGGAAACCCUGAUCCAGCCAUCCCGCGGUGCGAUGAAGCGCCUUUCGGGUUGUAAAGCGACUUGGCAGGAAGAAACGGCACGGGAUAAUACCCCGUGCAACUGAUCGGCAUCUAUGGUACACCGGCUAACUACGUGCCAGCAGUGCCGCGGCAUACGUAGGCAGGCGUUAAUCGGAAUUACUGGGCGCAAAGCGUGCGCAGGCGGUUCGGAAAGAACGAUGAAAUCCCAGAGCUAACUGGAACUGCAUUUUUAAUCACUGAGCUGAUAAAGCUGAUAGUGUGAACGCGUAGCAGUGAAUGCGUAGAUAUGGAGGAACACCGAUGGCGAAGGCAGCCUCUGGGAUAACACUGACGCUCAUGCACGAAAGCGUGGGGAGCAAACAGGAUUAGAUAUUCCGGUAGUCCACGCCCUAAACGAUGUCAACUAGCUGUUGGGGCCUGGCCUUGUAGCGCAGCUAACGCGUGAAGUUGACCGCCUGGGGAGUACGGUCGCAAGAUUAAAACUCAAAGGAAUUGACGGGACUCGCGCCAGCAGGAUUGAUGGUGGAUUAAUUCGAUGCAACGCGAAAAACCUUACCUGUUCCGAUAUGUCUGGAAUCCGAAGAGAUUUGGGAGUGCUCGCAAGAGAACCGGAACACAGGUGCUGCAUGGCUGUCGCUGCUCGUCGUGAGAGAUGUUGGGUUAAGUCCCGCAACGAGCGCAACCUUGUCAUUAGUUGCGCGAAAGGGCAAUCGCAUCGAGACUGCCGGUGACAAACCGGAGGAAGGUGGGAUGACGUCAGCCCCAUGGCCCUUAUGGGUAGGGUUUCACACGUCAUACAAUGGUCGGGACAGAGGGUCGCCAACCCGCGAGGGGGGAGCCAAUCCCAGAAACCCGAUCAGUCCGGAUCGCAGUCUGCAACUCGACUGCGUGAAGUCGGAAUCGUAAUCGCGGACUUCAGCAUGUCGCGGUGAAUACGUUCCCGGUCUCUGUACACGUCUCGCCCGUCACACCAGUAAGGUUUAUCAGGGCGGUGGUUAGCUCAACCGUAAGGAGGGCGAUUACCACGGUAGGAUCUUGAUGAUCAGUGAAGUCGUAACAAGGUAAC